GGCGAACGCUGGCGGCGUGCCUAAUACAUGCAAGUCGAGCGGACUUUCAAGAAGCUUGCUUUUUGAAAGUUAGCGGCGGACGGGUGAGUAACACGUGGGCAACCUGCCUGCAAGACGGGGAUAACUCCGGGAAACCGGGGCUAAUACCGGAUAAUAUCUUCCUUCGCAUGAAGGAAGGUUGAAAGGCGGCGCAAGCUGCCGCUUGCAGAUGGGCCCGCGGCGCAUUAGCUAGUUGGUGAGGUAACGGCUCACCAAGGCGACGAUGCGUAGCCGACCUGAGAGGGUGAUCGGCCACACUGGGACUGAGACACGGCCCAGACUCCUACGGGAGGCAGCAGUAGGGAAUCUUCCGCAAGGGACGAAAGUCUGACGGAGCAACGCCGCGUGAGCGAAGAAGGUCGUCGGAUCGUAAAGCUCUGUUGUCAGGGAAGAACAAGUACCGUUCGAACAGGGCGGUACCUUGACGGUACCUGACCAGAAAGCCACGGCUAACUACGUG
This 499-nucleotide ribosomal RNA is filed under the name uncultured bacterium. Its description in RNAcentral is "partial 16S ribosomal RNA". It matches the Rfam family "Bacterial small subunit ribosomal RNA", at positions 28 to 507 of the family's 1533-position model. The record is from RNAcentral.